Molecule: ribosomal RNA, 441 nt
Filed under: uncultured bacterium
Lineage: Bacteria
Description: partial 16S ribosomal RNA
Rfam family: Bacterial small subunit ribosomal RNA
Source: RNAcentral
CCUACGGGCGGCAGCAGUGGGGAAUAUUGCGCAAUGGGGGAAACCCUGACGCAGCAACGCCGCGUGAGUGAAGACGUAUCUCGGGAUGUAAAGCUCUAUCAGCGGGGAAGAAGGAAGACGGUACUCGACUAAGAAGCCCCGGCUAACUACGUGCCAGCAGCCGCGGUAAUACGGAGGGGGCGAGGGUUAUCCGGAUUUACUGGGUGUAAAGGGAGCGUAGACGGCGUCGCAAGUCUGAAGUGAAAGCCCGUGGCUCAACCGCAGAAUCGCAUUGGAAACUGCGAGGCUGGAGUGCAGGAGAGGUAAGCGGAAUUCGUGGUGUAGCGGUGAAAUGCGUAGAUAUCAGGAGGAACACCGGUGGCGAAGGCGGCUUACUGGACAGUGACUGACGUUGAGGCUCGAAAGCGUGGGGAGCGAACAGGAUUAGAUACCCCAGUAGUC